GACGAACGCUGGCGGCGUGCUUAACACAUGCAAGUCGAACGGAAAGGCCCCUUCGGGGGUACUCGAGUGGCGAACGGGUGAGUAACACGUGGGUGAUCUGCCCUGCACUCUGGGAUAAGCCUGGGAAACUGGGUCUAAUACCGGAUAGGACCGCGCGCUUCAUGGUGUGUGGUGGAAAGCUUUUGCGGUGUGGGAUGGGCCCGCGGCCUAUCAGCUUGUUGGUGGGGUAAUGGCCUACCAAGGCGACGACGGGUAGCCGGCCUGAGAGGGUGUCCGGCCACACUGGGACUGAGAUACGGCCCAGACUCCUACGGGAGGCAGCAGUGGGGAAUAUUGCACAAUGGGCGCAAGCCUGAUGCAGCGACGCCGCGUGGGGGAUGACGGCCUUCGGGUUGUAAACCUCUUUCAGUAUCGGCGAAGCUCCGUGGUUUUCUGCGGGGUGACGGUAGGUACAGAAGAAGCACCGGCCAACUACGUGC
This 479-nucleotide ribosomal RNA is filed under the name Mycobacterium hiberniae. Its description in RNAcentral is "Mycolicibacter hiberniae bacterial SSU rRNA". It matches the Rfam family "Bacterial small subunit ribosomal RNA", at positions 28 to 508 of the family's 1533-position model. Lineage: Bacteria; Bacillati; Actinomycetota; Actinomycetes; Mycobacteriales; Mycobacteriaceae. The record is from RNAcentral.